Molecule: long non-coding RNA, 154 nt
Filed under: Ornithorhynchus anatinus (platypus)
Lineage: Eukaryota; Metazoa; Chordata; Mammalia; Monotremata; Ornithorhynchidae
Description: lncRNA (ENSOANG00000041706.1)
Source: RNAcentral
AUGGAAAACUGCAAUUGGAUUUUUCUCUUUUUUUUAUCCUUUUUUGGUGUCAAGACCUAUUUCCCUUGUUCUUGGCCACCCGGAUUUCCGUCUGGAUGUUCGUGCGAUCGGUCUGAAAUUCACUGCUCCUGUGCUGCUUGGGAAGCCAUUAUCC